CAAUUUGAUUGGUGAAAAUUUUUCAAAUACGAAAAAAAACAAAACAACGACAAUGGAAUGGAAUAUUGAAAAAUUUUGUGAUCCAAAAACUCGUGAAAAGGAAUUCCAAUGGUUAUUUGAUCAAGCUAAACAAUUUCAACAAACAAUCCAACGUUUUCGAAUCGGAAAAGAAUCGAUCAAUAUGGAUCGAUUUCGUGAUCUUGUCAAACAAGGCAAAAAACUAUUACAAAUCACUGAAAUACUUAAAAAUAAUUAUAGUAAUAAUUUUCUUGAUAUUUUUCGAUUAUGAUAAACUCAGUGGGUGGUGGUUAGUGGUGGUGGGCGUGUAUAAUCUUGUCACGAAUGUUGGAUAUUUUGGUGGUUGAACUUUUUGAUGGAGAAAAAAAAAACACUUAUACUUAUACUUGAUAAUAAAGAUAAUGAAAAAAAAGUAUUCAAUACAUGAUGAUAAUGAUACAUUAAACCACCAACGCGACCAUUUUUACAUAUUAUGAAUGAAGCAAGAUAAAUGACAUGAAUUUUUCUUUUUUUUAUUAUUCUUGAAAAAAGUUUGAAAUUUGACGAAAAAGAUUCAAACUUACUUAUUCACCAGUGUGUCACAUUUAUACACAAACACAGAGAGAGAGAGAGAGAGAGACGGAAAUGUGUGUUAACUCUUACUUAUUUGAUAUUUAUUACUUAAAAAUUCUUAAUAACAUCUUUCAUCAUUUAUUAU
Dermatophagoides farinae (American house dust mite) is the source of this 715-nucleotide non-coding RNA. NCBI's taxonomy places the organism in Eukaryota, Metazoa, Arthropoda, Arachnida, Sarcoptiformes, Pyroglyphidae. The record is from RefSeq and is a predicted model, not a curated record.